This 253-nucleotide ribosomal RNA is filed under the name uncultured bacterium. RNAcentral's name for it is "partial 16S ribosomal RNA". It matches the Rfam family "Bacterial small subunit ribosomal RNA", at positions 524 to 776 of the family's 1533-position model. The record is from RNAcentral.
UACGUAGGUGGCAAGCGUUGUCCGGAUUUAUUGGGUUUAAAGGGUGCGUAGGCGGCCCUGUAAGUCAGUGGUGAAAUACUCCAGCUUAACUGGAGGGGUGCCAUUGAUACUGCAGGGCUUGAGUGGAGUCGAAGUAGGCGGAAUUGACGGUGUAGCGGUGAAAUGCUUAGAUAUCGUCAAGAACACCGAUAGUGAAGACAGUUUACUAGGCUUCUACUGACGCUGAGGCACGAAAGUGUGGGGAUCAAACAGG